Ictalurus punctatus (channel catfish) is the source of this 485-nucleotide long non-coding RNA. RefSeq lists it as uncharacterized. NCBI's taxonomy places the organism in Eukaryota, Metazoa, Chordata, Actinopteri, Siluriformes, Ictaluridae. The transcript has 2 exons. The record is from RefSeq and is a predicted model, not a curated record.
CAGGGAGCCUGGAGCCUAUCCUAGGAAACUCUAGGCACAAGGCGGAGGACACCCUGGAUGGAGGGCCAGAUCAUCGCAGGGCACAAUCCCACACACAUUCACACACUACGGACAAUUUGGAAAUGCCAAUCAGCCUACAACACAUGUCUUUGGACUGGGGGAGGAAACCGGAAUACCUGGAGGAAACCCCCCGAAGCAUGGGGAGAACAUGCAAACGCCACGCACACAGGGUGGAGGCAGGAUUCGAACCCCCAACCCCGGAGUGGAAAAACAGCAAUAUUGGUCCCUUUGGUGAACUUAAUGGUGACAUACUUGAGUCUAAAGCUCCUCCAGCCAGAGUCUGGUUAACUUCAUCCUGAGUGUCACACAGCUGAGAGGAAAGGAGAGAAGAAGAAAAAAGGCCACUGAUGUAAUCUCUGUGAUAGAAUACAAUUACACAUGGACACACACACAAAUCUCUCACCUCCUGAAUCUGAUCAACCAGG